GAUGGACGCUAGCUACAGGCUUAACACAUGCAAGUCGCGGGGCAGCAUGGGGGUUGCUUGCAACUCCCGAUGGCGACCGGCGCACGGGUGAGUAACGCGUAUCCAACCUGCCCUUCACCACGGGAUAACCCGGCGAAAGUCGGACUAAUACCGUAUGUUGUCCAUUGACGGCAUCCGAUUUGGACGAAAGGCUUUGCGGUGAAGGAUGGGGAUGCGUCCGAUUAGCCAGACGGCGGGGUAACGGCCCACCGUGGCUACGAUCGGUAGGGGUUCUGAGAGGAAGGUCCCCCACACUGGAACUGAGACACGGUCCAGACUCCUACGGGAGGCAGCAGUGAGGAAUAUUGGUCAAUGGGCGUAAGCCUGAACCAGCCAAGUAGCGUGCAGGAUGACGGCCCUAUGGGUUGUAAACUGCUUUUAUGCGGGGAUAAAGUGGCCCACGUGUGGGCUUUUGCAGGUACCGCAUGAAUAAGGACCGGCUAAUUCCGUG
RNAcentral lists this ribosomal RNA (490 nucleotides) under uncultured bacterium. RNAcentral's name for it is "partial 16S ribosomal RNA". It matches the Rfam family "Bacterial small subunit ribosomal RNA", at positions 28 to 507 of the family's 1533-position model. The record is from RNAcentral.